This 378-nucleotide ribosomal RNA is filed under the name uncultured bacterium. RNAcentral's name for it is "bacterial SSU rRNA". It matches the Rfam family "Bacterial small subunit ribosomal RNA", at positions 521 to 896 of the family's 1533-position model. The record is from RNAcentral.
UAAUACAGAGGUCUCGAGCGUUAGUCGGAGUCACUGGGCUUAAAGCGUACGUAGGCGGGCGCGCAGGCGUCGUGUGAAAGCCCUCAGCUCAACUGAGGAACUGCACGGCGAACCGCGCGUCUUGAGACAAGUAGGGGCGGUCGGAACGAUAGGUGGAGUGGUGAAAUGCGUUGAUAUCUAUCGGAAUGCCGAAGGAGAAAUCAGGCCGCUGGGCUUGUUCUGACGCUGAGGUACGAAAGCGUGGGGAGCGAACGGGAUUAGAUACCCCGGUAGUCCACGCCGUAAACGAUGUGCACUAGAUCGAGGAGGUUUUGACACCAUUCUCGGUCGAAGUAAAAACGUUGAGUGCACCGCCUGGGGAGUACGGUCGCAAGGCUA